UCCAUACUGGAGUACUACAAAAUACUAGCGUGAACUCUCCGUCAAAUUAAUUAACUUACAGGUUCUCAAAAAAGAAAUUAUAUACGAAAAAGUCUGAAAAAUAGAAACUAUGUGUGCCCUCCCCACCUAUUUCCAAAAGCAGUUUAUAGGGUUCGUAUUCUUUUCUUUUCAAUCUCUUUACAAACAAAGAAACAAUGAAAAUUUUCCAGAUCUUGUCACUUUGAUUGCAAAAUCUUUACAUAAUUAGAUUUAAGGAAGGGGGCAGAGGGCAGAGGGCAGAGGGCGGAGUGCAAGAGCAGUUCUGGCGGCAUCUCGUUCUGCAUCUUCUUCUACUGCAUCGCCGCUCUUCUUGAGGGAUCGUGAAUUCCAUGGGUCUCAAGGGAGUUUGCGAUGUGAAUUCUUGGAGGAUUCACAAGCUCUUUCAUAUUUGUUACACUGCUCAUGUUCAUUUAAAAUAGUCAAGAAAUAAUUGAUAUCAUACCAAGAUGCAGAGCUGCUAAGAUGCAGAGCUGGGAAGUGGGUACCAACAGGGGAUAAUGCACAAGAAGGUGUAUAUAUAAAGCAAACUACUCAUAGAUAUGAAAGAAUGUCGAUUGUCCAUCACUUAUUCAGGAGCAUUAUACUUGUACCUUAUUUUUAGUUUGUCAUUUUUCAAUACUUUAUAUGGUUGAUGUUAUUACUAAAGCUAUUAGCUUGUAGGUUUUGUAUAAAUUUUCAUUGUUUGUUGAUAUGUUGACUGUUAUGGAAGUAAUAUUUAAUCAGAAUUCUUUUUCUUUUA
Molecule: long non-coding RNA, 778 nt
Organism: Salvia miltiorrhiza (redroot sage)
Lineage: Eukaryota; Viridiplantae; Streptophyta; Magnoliopsida; Lamiales; Lamiaceae
Exons: 5
Source: RefSeq, a predicted model, not a curated record